This 76-nucleotide transfer RNA is filed under the name Betta pulchra. RNAcentral describes it as "tRNA-Val". Lineage: Eukaryota; Metazoa; Chordata; Actinopteri; Anabantiformes; Osphronemidae. The record is from RNAcentral.
ACUGAGGAAUUGUCCGUGCAAGUCGAACCAUUUUGACACCCAAUAGCUAGCCCUUCCACCCAAACCAAACAAGUCC